This 475-nucleotide long non-coding RNA is filed under the name Gossypium barbadense (sea-island cotton). RNAcentral's name for it is "long non-coding RNA (GBAR_LNC014193)". Lineage: Eukaryota; Viridiplantae; Streptophyta; Magnoliopsida; Malvales; Malvaceae. The record is from RNAcentral.
UUGAAGUCGUGGGUUAAGCAUGAAUUGGAAUGUUGAAUGGUCAAAGACUUGUCCAUAACCAUGAUUGUGUAGAGUCCUUGAUCGAGCUUGUUCCGAGGAAAUACAAGUUUGAGUUUUCCCAGCCUAAAGAGAAGGGUAAUGGUAGGGAAGAUGAAGAAGGACAAGUUGAAUGCAGCAGUAAUGGUGGAAAAGAAGGCUGCGAUACAAUGUUUCUUAUGUGGUGGUCUGCAUAUGGUAAGGGGUUGUUCGAAACGAUCUGUAUUUUCUACCAUUAAAGGGGACGAUGAACCAGAAAAAGCAAUGAUGAGGCUUGGCUCGGUAGUGCAUUUUGUCGAAGCCAAGAGGGUCAGAGAGAGCAAAAGAAACAAGUGGAGUGCUUCUUAUGUAGUAGUUCGUAUAUGAUGCGAGAUUGUUUAGAGUGAUCCAAGAUCUCCACAAUCAAGAAAGAAGAAGCGAAGCCUGUUGAGGAUAAGCC